AUGGCUGUCGUCAGCUCGUGUCGUGAGAUGUUGGGUUAAGUCCCGCAACGAGCGCAACCCUCGUUCUAUGUUGCCAGCGGGUUAUGCCGGGGACUCAUAGGAGACUGCCGGGGUCAACUCGGAGGAAGGUGGGGAUGACGUCAAAUCAUCAUGCCCCUUAUGUCUUGGGCUUCACGCAUGCUACAAUGGCCAGUACAAAGGGCUGCGAUGCCGUAAGGUGGAGCGAAUCCCAAAAAACUGGUCUCAGUUCGGAUUGGGGUCUGCAACUCGACCCCAUGAAGUCGGAGUCGCUAGUAAUCGCAGAUCAGCAACGCUGCGGUGAAUACGUUCCCGGGCCUUGUACACACCGCCCGUCACGUCACGAAAGCCGGCAACGCCCGAAGCCGGCGGCCUAACCCGCAAGGGAGGGAGCCGUCGAAGGCGGGGCUGGUGAUUGGGACGAAGUCGUAACAAGGUAGCCGUAGCGGAAGCUGCGGCUGGAUCACCUCCUUUCUAGGGAAUAUCGGGGCUAUUACCCCGGUAGGCGUUCGGCUUGUUCGAUGGAUGCUCGAUUGGUCCGUCCGAUGUCCGAGCUCGCCUAGAACGAACGUCGACCUCGACGUUCACGCUGUUGAGUUUUGAGAGAUUGUGCCGCCUGAAAGGCGAGUGCAGUUUCCUCAUGCGGGCUGAGCCCGUGCGCACUUUGAAAACUCCAUAGCGGCAUUAUAUGGUGUUCUUUCUGAUCAAGAGAAUAAGAGCAUACGGUGGAUGCCUAGGCGCCAAGAGGCGAUGAAGGACGUGGGCGGCUGCGAAAAGCCCGGCGGAGGUGCUGACCAACCGUUGAUCCCGGGAUGUCCGAAUGGGGAAACCCGG
RNAcentral lists this small RNA (852 nucleotides) under uncultured Actinomycetales bacterium. RNAcentral's name for it is "bacterial SSU rRNA". The stretch from base 1 to 492 matches the Rfam family "Bacterial small subunit ribosomal RNA", at positions 1045 to 1533 of the family's 1533-position model. The record is from RNAcentral. Lineage: Bacteria; Bacillati; Actinomycetota; Actinomycetes; Actinomycetales.